This 500-nucleotide ribosomal RNA is filed under the name uncultured bacterium. Its description in RNAcentral is "partial 16S ribosomal RNA". It matches the Rfam family "Bacterial small subunit ribosomal RNA", at positions 30 to 523 of the family's 1533-position model. The record is from RNAcentral.
AUUGAACGCUGGCGGCAUGCCUUACACAUGCAAGUCGAACGGCAGCACGGGAGCAAUCCUGGUGGCGAGUGGCGAACGGGUGAGUAAAGUAUCGGAACGUGCCCAGUCGUGGGGGAUAACGUAGCGAAAGUUACGCUAAUACCGCAUACGAUCUAUGGAUGAAAGCGGGGGAUCGCAAGACCUCGCGCGAUUGGAGGGGCCGAUAUCAGAUUAGGUAGUUGGGGGAGUAAAGGCUCACCAGGCCGACGAUCUGUAGCUGGUCUGAGAGGACGACCAGCCACACUGGGACUGAGACACGGCCCAGACUCCUACGGGAGGCAGCAGUGGGGAAUUUUGGACAAUGGGGGAAAGCCUGAUCCAGCCAUGCCGCGUGCAGGAUGAAGGCCUUCGGGUUGUAAACUGCUUUUGUACGGAACGAAAAGGUUUGGCCUAAUAAGCUGAGCUCAUGACGGUACCGUAAGCAUAAGCACCGGCUAACUACGUGCCAGCAGCCGCCGUAA